UCUGUACAGCCUGUGCCAGAGCCUCACCACUGUUGAAUAAAAUAAAAUCUUCUUAACAUCUAACCUAAAUCUCCCCUCUUUUAGAUUGAAACCAUUCUCCUAUCACUAUCAGACUGGGCAAGAAGUCAGUCUCUCUUCUGUUUAUAAGCUCCCUUUAAUGUGGGAGGGGAUGCUACAGUCAGGGUGGAGUUGCUUUGCAAGUUGCAAGGGACACGGGAAUCUGAAAUAUUCGAGUUCCUAUAGUGGGUUUGAGGGUGAAAUAACUGGGGAGGAGAGCACUGUUCAAGGCCAUUGUAAUAGCUGAUGUCACCUGCUUGUGAGCAUGAGCCUGUUCUCCUGGGGGAGAUGCUGCCUGCUGCAGGGGUGCUGAUGUCAGAAGCCAGGGCGCAACUGGUUGCAGCGUUCACUGAAGGACAGCAAAGUUUGCUUUUCCAAUCCAUGCAGAGAUUGGGAAGAAACUUCCAAAAUCAAGUUUGAAAAGUCACCAGAAGCAUGUACCAGAGCAAGUCCCAGACCAAAGGAGGGCUGAGCAUUCAGCAUCCUCUCUUAAGCACCCUGAGAGCCAUGCUCCGCGUUUACCCCCGUGCAGGAGCAUAGGGCUCUCUGCGUUCAACACUCAUGCCCAUUUUUAAGCUGGCUUUGAUGUGGUCACCGCAUCUUCAAAGCAAGAUGUGAGGAGCUUGGAGGUACCUUCCAUGAUGCGUUGUUAUGGGGAAGGUGGAGGUGGUUGGGUACAGGCGCUUAGAACCUCGUGGCUUCAGAAGAGCACUGAAAACCCAACAGCUGAGCUGCUGCGUUCAAUCGCACAGCCCACAAUCUGCGUGUGGAACGUGGCAGUCAUCUGAAGGAUUCAUUAAGAUGGGGAAUUAUUUGCAUAUUAUUAGCAUUAUUACACGGAAAUAAAAGUGCUGCUGGUUCUCCCCUCCCUCCACGUAUCUCUCUCUCAUCACCCGCCUUUAUAACCGCUCUGAAUCCUAUUUGUCGUGUGACAAACUGGGCUGAUAAAUCUCGUUACUCACUUGAAUGGCUGGGAGACUCAUCGCCCAUUACUGAAUUUGGUGAAUUAUGUAAGAAACGCAUAAUUAAAAUUAAACGCGGAGCCUCGCGUGGAACCUCAUGAAAUUCCGGUCGCGAUGAAUUACGGAGAGAUGUACAUGGGGAUUAAAAUGUAAGCCUAAUUAUUUGGAUUUAUUCUUAAUCAAUAUUUAAUACGCCACCUAUAAGUUCCUGUGUACCCACAGCAAAGCAGCUGGUGGGGCUUUCCAGGAGAGCACGGGAAGCACGCGUGCAAGUCGAGUUCCAUGUUUGUUUCCAUCAUCCUGCUCACUUCAAUAUUUGAUUACAGAAAGGAAAACUGCCCUGAACAAGAGGGGAUAAAGUUCCCCGGCCGCAGGAAGUCGUGGCAAGGAGCCUUUUUUCCCCAAGUCUUUCCCCACCUGAUCACCUUUGGAUGUUGUGGUUUAUUGGAAGAGCACUGAACUUGUGGGAAAUAACUAACGGAGCACCGCUUGGUUGUUCACUCAUCAGAUUGUCAUGAAAAUCAUGCUGAAAAUCCUUCCCAUCACGUAUUUCUGCACUCCUGAUUCUUAUUAAAGACAGCUGUCCAGACUGCUGUCUGUCUUCUGGAGGUGUAUAUUUGAAAUAUGCUAAAAAGUUGUUUUCUGUGUGCAAAAAUUGGCUUUAGAGGUAUCUCCAAAUGCCCUGGCAAGAGAAGAAGUGUUUUUAAGGCAAGCAGUCUGCAAACCCCCUCUUAAUUUUGAAAGGUUCGUCUCUCUUAAGUACGAAACUGAAUAGAAGAGAUUUUAUUCCCCUAAAUCCCCGAUUCUGGAGAAAGCAGCUUGAGAUCUCAGUAAGAGAAUUAACACAGGGGUUAAAUUUACAAUAAGGAGCAGUACUUGGAAAAUGCCUAUUCAGACGCUGUUAAGGAAAUAAUAGGAUUAGUUCUUGUCGUGUCAGUGUGGAUUCCUCAAACUGCGGGCUUCGUGCUGACAUGCAUACGUUCUGUGUUGCUGGCCUGGGUGUGAAAUUGAGGACAAUGAAAAUAAAGAUGACUUUUCUUGGAGGCAGUUCCUUUGAAUGUUCAAGCCCGUAGCUCUGCACACGCACGCGUGCGGCAGGUAAUUCACUAUGACAAAUAAGCCACUAAUAAUUCCCCCAGUGCUGUUGUUUGCCACCGAGAUGAUCUUAAUUGCCGCCGUUGUAACUGGUAAAAAUGCCUUUAUCCCAAGUGGCAAGUGCGCCGUCUCAAACGUGUUUCCCAUUUCCAUCCUAAGCGGAUUUCGGAUCAUUUCUGUCAUCUGUUGGAAGCACAAUAGACAUUUUUACCCAUUGUUUUUGUGAUUUCUUUUGGAUGACCCAUUUAUUAUUCCGCUGUAUUUAUUAUAAUCUACGUACAUCGCAUGCGUUCUUUAAGAUACAGCGUCCUUAUCUCUCUGUUUAUUUCGCACUUCUCAUUAAUCCAGAGCCCUGAAACAAAGCAUUAUCUUCCAUUCCUCGUCUGCCAUUUCAUAACCAUCCGUGUGUAUCUUUAUUUUUAGCUUAAGCAAAAGCCGUGCAGCGCUAAGGCUGAGUUGGGCUUAUUUUGACAUCAGCUGAUUUCAUCACAGAACGAGCUGUAGAUCGUCGCUCUGAAAAACUUCAACAAAAUGGUCUGAAAGGUUUUUAUGGGUUGUGAGAUGUUCCAGUGCUUGGAUCAAUGCGUUUUCUUUAAUGUCGGGAAGGAGUAUGUUGGGUUUUUUUUGGUUUGUUUGCUUGUGUUAUGUCAAUUUAAUUGUAAGCCAGCACAGCAGCCCCAGGGGAAGUGUACCUAUAUACACAAACAGGUACAACGCUGUGUGUGCAUGGAGCACACGGAACCAUCCCAGGGCAGAGGAGGUCCCCGAGGAGCUGCCAGGCUGUUCAGACAUCACUGAUACCAGAAUGGUGAGACCCACCUGGCCUGAUUUUGGCACAGCGCUGUGCCCUCUUCGGCGGCAGAAACAAGAAUGCAGGAGAUUGGCUUCACGUGUAGAGCUGCAUCAGCUGAAGCUCGCGCUAGCAUGAGGUUUAGCAAGGUUUGUGCUCUGGUGUGAGCAAAACAGGGGGAAAUCUAUCUUCUGUUAUCAGAGGGCAACCUGAGCUGGUGGGGGACAGCCAGCCCACGGCAGGGGUUGGGACCAGAUGAUCUCUGAGGUCCCUUCCAACCCAAACCAUUCUGUUACUGUAUGAUUUUAAAUUAUACAUGUGUAUUUCACGUCUAUAUAAAACCAUCCUGGGACUUGUGGACUGAGAUGUGAUGUGAUUUGCAUGAUGACAUCCUGACAGUAACCAAGGAGGCUAACCUGCAUCGUGAUGCUUUUGCUUCGACCUGCUGUCCCCAGCCACGGAUUGCCGUCAUAAAGGCCCAUUAAAAAUCACUUUGCUCUCUGGGAUGCUUAACUUGCUGUGUUUUCAGUUAGCCAUGGUGAACCUUGAAAAAGAGAGUGUUUUAGCUUCCAGCAGGAUAUCUAGAGUUCAGAAAUCUCCGCAGAAGAUUAAGCAAGUUAGAGAGAGAAAUGAGCUCUGAUCUCUUUCUGCCAGCAUAGGAUUAUCCUGCAGCACACCGGUUUUGAAGUUUAUGUCUAAUCCAGUUUUACACGUCCCAGGGGACUGGGCUCCUUACGACUUCUGCAGAGCAGUUGUAUGGUGGAGCCUCUGCUUUAGAGGUACUUACUCGGUGCCGAGAUUCAAUUUGCAUUUCCAUUACUGCAUCCCAUUUCAUCCUGUGCCAUAUACUUAAUGUCGCUGCUUUGUGGUGUAUGGCUUUCGAAGACAUAUGGAUCGUUACUGUGCUUGUGCUACUUUAUAUGCUUACUGCACACGUGGCUGGACUGUCUGGACCCCCUUCUUACAAAUAACUUGUGCUUAGGGCUGUUGAACGUAUUUAUGUGAAAAAAGGGCUUGUGGCAGUCAGUGCGCAUCGUAGCACAUCGACGCAAGUGGCGUGAGCCAAGGUGAGAUGAGCCAAGCAUGCAGCAAUAUUGCUAGUCAAGGCAAAGAGGAGCAAAUGUUGCUGUUCUCCAGCACGGUGCAAGGUUUAAAUGGCCAGUUUGGGAGUUUUUCAUCUGAUGCACGAUGAGUUUGUAAAACCAUGAUUUUUGUUUUCUAAUAAAUGUGUAUUUCCAGGCUGAAAA
Numida meleagris (helmeted guineafowl) is the source of this 4151-nucleotide long non-coding RNA. RefSeq lists it as uncharacterized. The transcript is spliced from 2 exons. NCBI's taxonomy places the organism in Eukaryota, Metazoa, Chordata, Aves, Galliformes, Numididae. The record is from RefSeq and is a predicted model, not a curated record.